This 292-nucleotide ribosomal RNA is filed under the name uncultured bacterium. RNAcentral describes it as "partial 16S ribosomal RNA". The record is from RNAcentral.
GGACUACACGGGUAUCUAAUCCUGUUUGCUCCCCACGCUCUCGCGCCUCAGCGUCAGUAUCUGUCCAGGUAGCCGCCUUCGCCACUGGUGUUCCUUCCGAUCUCUACGCAUUUCACCGCUACACCGGAAAUUCCACUACCCUCUACAGUACUCUAGUUAAACAGUUUAAGAUGCAGUUCCUAGGUUAAGCCCAGGGAUUUCACAUCUCACACAUUCAACCGCCUACGCGCCCUUUACGCCCAGUAACUCCGAUUAACGCUUGCACCCUCUGUAUUACCGCGGCUGCUGGCAC